Molecule: unclassified non-coding RNA, 1077 nt
Filed under: Hevea brasiliensis (rubber tree)
Lineage: Eukaryota; Viridiplantae; Streptophyta; Magnoliopsida; Malpighiales; Euphorbiaceae
Source: RNAcentral
UUUUAUGUUACAUUUUUAAGUUGAUAGACUAUAAUGUUACAACUAGAUAAGUUUAUGAACAACUGUCAAAAUUUAUCCAAACAUAAGCAGUCUACAACUCAACAACAAAGUUCAAAAAGGAAGGCCCAAAAUUAAAAAAACAAAUAGACAGAAUCCGGCCAUAAAAUGGAUAAUCCAAUAGGGAGAAAACUUAUCCGACUUGUAUCACAAACAAAGUCACAAUUGGGGAGCUCAGCUCACCCUUGCAAACCAGAUCUAAAUCCAAUAUCAAAAUGGGAAGCUCAGCUCACCCUAAAUCCAACAUCACACAAGCAUCUUAAGUCAAAUGAAUUAGGUUUACAUUACAAGAGUACCUUUACAGUCACUGCGGAGUUCUAAAUUUGAAUAAUAAAAUUAAUAAUUAAUAUAUUAACCAUUUCAAGUUCCCUGUGAGAAAGAAAGCAGGUUAACUCCAAAAUAACAUCUACCUAUCACUUGGAAAAAAAAUAAUUGAACAAGAGUGAGCGUUUAACUUAAAGAGUUUAGUUAUUGAUUAUAAAUAUAAUUUCUAUAGCUAUCUACAACUAAUGCAUUCCUAAGUAUGAAAUGCACGCUAAAUAUAUACAGCAAGUAAAUCAUCUAAUACUCGCACAAGAAGAUAAUUUGGAGUUACACACGUACCCAGUAAAGUGUUUUCAUACAGAACUAUGGAAGCUGAUCCCUUAUCUAGCUCUCUUGAUCUAAGACUAGCCAGCAAGCUCAAUUCAAGCAUGAUUUUCGCUUAAAUCCAAGUGCGGAGGCCAGUGAGAUCUAUUCAAAGUCGUGCUUCAUCCCGAUUUUCCAUAUCUAUAAGGAUCGGCUUUCAGCGAGACUAGCUUAAGCUGCGACUAAACAGAUGAAAGAGAUGCUGCCCUGCAGAAUCCAGAUUCUGCUCCUAUUCAUCUUCUUUUCCCUUUCCCUCUUUUGUUUCUUAUACUUCAGAUCACUAUCUUUUUUUUUUUUUUCCCUUUGCGGGUGUUCUAUCUUGCGAGAGAAAUCUAAAAAAUUUUGGCCAUCUUCCCCUCCUUUCUCCCCUCUUCUUCUUCUCCUUCUUUCCUU